GUUGGGAACCAACGAUGGAGCUUCCCGGAAACCCUAUUGAUGUAUGCCUUGGUCUUUGGUCUGUGUUCUUCUGAGUACCAGAGCUGCUGCUCCAUUCCCGUAUUUCUUUUGGUUUCUAUUAAAUUUCCUUCCAAAGUUGCUGUUGCUGUUCCCGUGGGGGUUAUUGUUAUCACUGUCGCCAUGAAUUGAAAGAAAAGG
Molecule: long non-coding RNA, 198 nt
Organism: Arachis stenosperma
Lineage: Eukaryota; Viridiplantae; Streptophyta; Magnoliopsida; Fabales; Fabaceae
Exons: 3
Source: RefSeq, a predicted model, not a curated record